This is a long non-coding RNA of Fukomys damarensis (Damara mole-rat), 467 nucleotides long. RefSeq lists it as uncharacterized. The transcript has 4 exons. NCBI's taxonomy places the organism in Eukaryota, Metazoa, Chordata, Mammalia, Rodentia, Bathyergidae. The record is from RefSeq and is a predicted model, not a curated record.
GCCGGGAGCGGGGAAUCGGGGUUCUCGCCGGUUCUCCUCGCAGUUCAGGAGCCAAGGAGGGAAGCGACUGAGAAGAGGCCACAGAGCGAUUCAGCCUUGAACAGAACACCAGGCCGGCGUACUUCAAAAGAGGGGACCGGGACGGAAGCGACGCAAUGACCACUACAAGGUCCUGGUCCCUGCAGGCUGCCCCCGCCCGGAAGCACAGGUGGGCUACAGCAAGUUCCUGCCUCCGACUUCACAGUGGUUCCGAAUUGGCAGAAGAACACAGCACACAAGAUCGGGAUCCUGCCGGCACCUGGUGGCUCACGCCUAGAAUCCCACCUGCUCCGAAGGCCGAGGCAGGAGGAUCGCGAGUUCAAAUUGGCCUGCGCAGGUGAAGGAAGGAACCGCGGGAGGGCCAAGGACAAGAGAGGCCCACUGGAGAGAGACGCAGCGACUGUCCACCCUGCAGGACUUAAAGGUAG